This 1572-nucleotide ribosomal RNA is filed under the name Citrobacter freundii. RNAcentral describes it as "partial 23S ribosomal RNA". It matches the Rfam family "Bacterial large subunit ribosomal RNA", at positions 1270 to 2822 of the family's 2925-position model. Lineage: Bacteria; Pseudomonadati; Pseudomonadota; Gammaproteobacteria; Enterobacterales; Enterobacteriaceae. The record is from RNAcentral.
AUGCUGGAGGUAUCAGAAGUGCGAAUGCUGACAUAAGUAACGAUAAUGCGGGUGAAAAACCCGCACGCCGGAAGACCAAGGGUUCCUGUCCAACGUUAAUCGGGGCAGGGUGAGUCGACCCCUAAGGCGAGGCCGAAAGGCGUAGUCGAUGGGAAACAGGUUAAUAUUCCUGUACUUGGUGUUACUGCGAAGGGGGGACGGAGAAGGCUAUGUUAGCCGGGCGACGGUUGUCCCGGUUUAAGCAUGUAGGCGGAGGUUCCAGGUAAAUCCGGUACCUUUUUAACGCUGAGGUGUGAUGACGAGGCACUACGGUGCUGAAGUAACAAAUGCCCUGCUUCCAGGAAAAGCCUCUAAGCAUCAGGUAACACGAAAUCGUACCCCAAACCGACACAGGUGGUCAGGUAGAGAAUACCAAGGCGCUUGAGAGAACUCGGGUGAAGGAACUAGGCAAAAUGGUGCCGUAACUUCGGGAGAAGGCACGCUGAUAUGUAGGUGAAGUGAUUUACUCAUGGAGCUGAAAUCAGUCGAAGAUACCAGCUGGCUGCAACUGUUUAUUAAAAACACAGCACUGUGCAAACACGAAAGUGGACGUAUACGGUGUGACGCCUGCCCGGUGCCGGAAGGUUAAUUGAUGGGGUUAUCCGUAAGGAGAAGCUCUUGAUCGAAGCCCCGGUAAACGGCGGCCGUAACUAUAACGGUCCUAAGGUAGCGAAAUUCCUUGUCGGGUAAGUUCCGACCUGCACGAAUGGCGUAAUGAUGGCCAGGCUGUCUCCACCCGAGACUCAGUGAAAUUGAACUCGCUGUGAAGAUGCAGUGUACCCGCGGCAAGACGGAAAGACCCCGUGAACCUUUACUAUAGCUUGACACUGAACACUGGUCCUUGAUGUGUAGGAUAGGUGGGAGGCUUUGAAGUGUGGACGCCAGUCUGCAUGGAGCCAUCCUUGAAAUACCACCCUUUAAUGGCUGGUGUUCUAACGUGGACCCGUGAUCCGGGUUGCGGACAGUGUCUGGUGGGUAGUUUGACUGGGGCGGUCUCCUCCUAAAGAGUAACGGAGGAGCACGAAGGUUAGCUAAUCCUGGUCGGACAUCAGGAGGUUAGUGCAAAGGCAUAAGCUAGCUUGACUGCGAGAGUGACGGCUCGAGCAGGUGCGAAAGCAGGUCUUAGUGAUCCGGUGGUUCUGAAUGGAAGGGCCAUCGCUCAACGGAUAAAAGGUACUCCGGGGAUAACAGGCUGAUACCGCCCAAGAGUUCAUAUCGACGGCGGUGUUUGGCACCUCGAUGUCGGCUCAUCACAUCCUGGGGCUGAAGUAGGUCCCAAGGGUAUGGCUGUUCGCCAUUUAAAGUGGUACGCGAGCUGGGUUUAGAACGUCGUGAGACAGUUCGGUCCCUAUCUGCCGUGGGCGCUGGAGAAUUGAGGGGGGCUGCUCCUAGUACGAGAGGACCGGAGUGGACGCAUCACUGGUGUUCGGGUUGUCAUGCCAAUGGCAUUGCCCGGUAGCUAAAUGCGGAAGAGAUAAGUGCUGAAAGCAUCUAAGCACGAAACUUGCCCCGAGAUGAGUUCUCCCUGAGACU